CCGAGACCAACCAGACCAAUCUCCUUCCAGCCGCUCUCCCCUACCAGCCAUUGCGGGCUUGCGGCGCGUGGGCUUGAACCUCGUGGCGCCAGCGCUGGCCGGCUGCUGCCGUCUCUCUCUAGUUUCCUGCCUCCGCCACCUACACCGGUCCCCGCAACCCCACCGUCCUCCCCUGGUCGGUCGCCACGGCGCCACGACCCCGACGACCUCUACUCGGCCACCUUCCCUCGCUUGACCCCGACGACCUCGACGUCCACUGCUCGCCCGCCUACCUUGGCUCGGCCCCGGCGACCUCGACGUCGCCGCACCUGUCCGCCCUUCCCCGCCGACCACACCACCUGGCCCUGCUCCGACGACGGAGCCACGCCCUGCUCCGUGAUCGGCUUCCGCUUCAACCUCGCCGAUUACUGUAAUGGGUAAACUCUGCAAGGCUUCCGAGCCGAAUAUUCACAUACAAUCUUCUUUUGACACUGAUGAUUCUGGAAGCAAUUUUUGCUCAGUGACUUUGCUGAAGAUGAUCCAUACCCUAUUUCCCAGGAUCUAUCAUGGAUGAUGAUAAUUUUGUUAAAGCUUUGUCUGGUCUCAGUGCGACCCAUAGGGAAAGGCAAGGUCCCUGAAGUCCCAAUCCAUAUGAACAAUUCCGGAGAAGCGUAGACAAAGCAAAAUUGGGGGAUGCUUAGCUGUGCUGCAUCUUCCAUCGUUCCUUCCAGGUUUGUCCCCGGGUCCUUGCUGUAAGUUUUGUCCCAAUUUUUGGUCGUUUCUUUGUCUUGCUCUUCUCUUGCGUGUCCAUAUGCUGCAAGUUUUGCCCCGAUUUCUGGUUGUUUCUCUCAACUUGCCCGCAGGUUCUGGUGUCAGGGUUGUUUUGUUGCGUUGCUUUUCGUGUAGCUGGGUUGUACUUGUACGUAGUCGUUAGGUGAGAACGUUUUAGGCCCUUUUCCCUGCCUUUCAUGUUUCCUGUCUAUUUGAUUUCAGUUGAAGGUCAAAUAAGCAGUCCCUUGAUCAGCACGACAGCUAGACCCUGUUUGCAAACCUGAUACCGGAGUUACUCCAAGAGGAUUAUUUUUUUCUUCAAAACGGAGGCAAAAGAUUUGCCUCAUCAAUUAAUUAAAAAGAAGAAAAAAAUACCUAGUUAAUUAACGAAAAAACAAACGAAAACCGAUACAUAUAGACCACAUAUAGACUACUUGGUAAGGAAGAAACUCCAGGACCCCAGGGUCAACCCGACAAACAUACAUAAGGUGCAACCACCACGACCCUUUGCAUUUCCACGUCGCAAAGAAACCAUAACAAAACCAAGGUUGAAGACAACGGGCACCAUCAAAUCUAUGGAGACGAGCCAAUCAAAGAUGGUGGUCGAAAAGAUUGAGAAUCAUCUAAGAGGAUCUUGAUUCAUUAAACAAAAAGAGUUGCCUGGUUAAUUUGUGAAAACCAGAUGAAAACUUUUACAUCAUGCCUGCAAGACAGGGGUAGGCGACCAACGUGGCUACCCACACAAAGACUCAA
Long non-coding RNA from Hordeum vulgare subsp. vulgare (domesticated barley), 1503 nucleotides. RefSeq lists it as uncharacterized. The record is from RefSeq and is a predicted model, not a curated record. The transcript is spliced from 4 exons. Lineage: Eukaryota; Viridiplantae; Streptophyta; Magnoliopsida; Poales; Poaceae.